RNAcentral lists this ribosomal RNA (743 nucleotides) under Acaphyllisa sp. NJAUAcariEriYN294.2. RNAcentral's name for it is "partial 18S ribosomal RNA". It matches the Rfam family "Eukaryotic small subunit ribosomal RNA", at positions 389 to 910 of the family's 1831-position model. Lineage: Eukaryota; Metazoa; Arthropoda; Arachnida; Trombidiformes; Eriophyidae. The record is from RNAcentral.
ACAAGCCUGAGAAACGGCUAGUAGGACUAAGGUCUGCAGCAGGCGCGAAACUUACACAAUGCUAGAUUUUUGAUAAUUAGCGAUGUAGUGAAGAAAAAUAACGAUGUACUUUCAUAUAAACAUGAUAGUACAAUUGGAAUGAGACGACUAUAAAUGAGUUAGUCGAGUAACAAAUGGAGGGCAAGUCUGGUGCCAGCAGCCGCGGUAAUUCCAGCUCCAUUAGCAUACAUUAAAGUUGUUGCGGUUAAAAAGCUCGUAGUUGAAUUUUAGGCGGGCUCUUUGGGGAUGUGGUCACAAAGUGAUUCGAAUUCGUUCUUAUCAUGAUCGCAUUUUCCCCUUAGGAACCCGCUGUUUCGUCACUUAAUCGAGUGCGAAGCGGGGUGGAUCAAUACAAGUUCGCUUGUUUGACACACCAUGUUUACCUUGAGAAAAUUAGAGUGCUCACAGCAGGCAGUUGGGGCGUUAAAACCCCUUUAAUGCUUGAAUAAUGUUGCAUGGAAUAAUAGAAUACGGCCUCGGUUCUAUUCUGUUGGUCUUAUAGAACAACAAACAAGUUGAUUAAGGCGUUAAAGGUUUGUUAUGAAUGGGGUUCAUUGGGUUUGCUAGUUACCUUGGAGUAAAAUCUAAGCGUCUUCUGCCCUUUAAACUAUUCCAAACUGUUCAUUAGCAGGCUAGCCUUUUGGGCAACUGACGCAAUGGUUAAAAAAAUUAGUCGCGGCGGCAUCAGUACUGCAUCGUGAGAG